GGUGGCUCAGUGGUAGAGCACUUGCCUUGCAUGCAUAAGGUCCUAGGUUCGAUUCCUCAACACCA
Molecule: transfer RNA, 65 nt
Filed under: Dipodomys ordii (Ord's kangaroo rat)
Lineage: Eukaryota; Metazoa; Chordata; Mammalia; Rodentia; Heteromyidae
Rfam family: tRNA
About the family: Transfer RNA (tRNA) molecules are approximately 80 nucleotides in length.
Source: Rfam by way of RNAcentral